UUCUUCCAGGCACUUCCUCUCCUCUCCUCCCUUUCCUCCUCUCUCCUCUCUCUACGCCGCCGGCACCUCCCCGGCCGGGCCGCUUGGCCGCUAGCGUAGGGCCUCCGCAGCCAGGCUGCCGGCGCGCGGCCCGCGGGGCCUUCCCAGCCGGGCCGCCUAGCCGCCGGCGGUGGAUUAGGGGUUAACUGAAAUGCCGCGCGGCCCUCAGGAAGCAACCGCAAGGCGCGAGGCCCUCAUGUAGCAAUCAAAAUUUGUUGGGACAAGAAAAUUUGUUUGGGGGGUGUGAUGAUGCCAUCUUCCUUACUUCCCUACUCGCGUCUUCUCCUUGCAGGCAAUGCGUUCCCCGGCUGUCCCUGAUGACAAUACACCCCAAUGCUCGAGGUAGCAGGAGGAACGCAAGGCUGAGGGCCCUUAGCGUGAGGCACGCAGCCCUCCCCGGAUUUUGGAUUGUGCCCCGUUAUGCUUGUUAUAUCAUCUUCUUACUUUUUUGGUGAACGUGAAUGCCAAUGGUAUACAAUAGGUUCGAACAUAUUUGUACAAAGUUGUUGAGAAGUUUUAUGAACUGAUGAUGGCCAUCUUCCUGUUU
This is a long non-coding RNA of Setaria italica (foxtail millet), 586 nucleotides long. RefSeq lists it as uncharacterized. NCBI's taxonomy places the organism in Eukaryota, Viridiplantae, Streptophyta, Magnoliopsida, Poales, Poaceae. The record is from RefSeq and is a predicted model, not a curated record. The transcript has 2 exons.